UCUACGGGAGGCAGCAGUGGGGAAUAUUGCACAAUGGGGGAAACCCUGAUGCAGCGACGCCGCGUGAAGGAAGAAGUAUCUCGGUAUGUAAACUUCUAUCAGCAGGGAAGAAAAUGACGGUACCUGACUAAGAAGCCCCGGCUAACUACGUGCCAGCAGCCGCGGUAAU
This 169-nucleotide ribosomal RNA is filed under the name uncultured bacterium. RNAcentral describes it as "partial 16S ribosomal RNA". It matches the Rfam family "Bacterial small subunit ribosomal RNA", at positions 338 to 524 of the family's 1533-position model. The record is from RNAcentral.